RNAcentral lists this long non-coding RNA (853 nucleotides) under Homo sapiens (human). Its description in RNAcentral is "HSALNT0103334". The record is from RNAcentral. Lineage: Eukaryota; Metazoa; Chordata; Mammalia; Primates; Hominidae.
AAAGAACAAACCCCGCUGACACCUCGAUCUUGGACUUCUUGCCUCUAGAACUGUGAGAUUAUAAAGUUCUGUUGUUUGAGCUGCCUAGUUUGUGUUAUUUUGUUAUAGCAGCCCGAGGAAACUAUUGCAGUAAGCAGCAUCCUCUGAGAAAUAACUAAGUUGUGUCCUAAGAUUUUCCCCAAACUUUAUUAAAAUGAACUUAUUUAAAAAGAAAACUAGUAAAUAAGAGGUGAGGUGAAGUAAGUAUGACAGGUUCAUAUGCCUAAUUAAAAAGCUGAACAAAAAUUUGAGUUCAAAGAUAGAAGAAAAUAAAAGGCACAAGGAAAAGUAUGUGUCAGCUUAGCUAUCCCAGUCCAUAGUUUCUGAGAACAACCAGAGGUGGGGAUAAGCAAGGACCACUCAGAAAGGGAGUAUCUCACAGGUGUGUGGGAAGAAGAGAGCUUGAAUCUGGGAAAAAAAGUUAAGCUAAGAAUAGGAAUUAGAAAGGAUGGAAACCGAAGGAUAGAAUAGGGAUGGUAGAGGAAGAGGCCAUCGUAGGAGGUGGUAAAAGCAAAGACUGUGAGCUAGGAGAACAAAGCUGGCUGGAUCCUGAGGGUAGUGAGUUACUAUAGUGAGUGUAGUGAAUGAGUUGAGGUGGGGGAAAGUAAGAGCAUCUGGAGAACAGAAGAUGGAGAUGAAUGUGAUCUGAGAUUAAGGUGGGAAAGUAAUUUAGGAAUAAGGGAUGGAGUGGGUGCACUGGAGAAGGUAUUUUGAGGGAGGACACAGAAGUGAGAGGCACAGGUGGUGGCUAUAGAAGGGGCCCUACAGAAUGGGUGGGCUUAAGGAGAAGCUAGAGAAAUGCAAGUUGGGAACA